UACAUAGGUCCCGAGCGUUGUCCGGAUUUAUUGGGCGUAAAGCGAGCGCAGGUGGUUUAUUAAGUCUGGUGUAAAAGGCAGUGGCUCAACCAUUGUAUGCAUUGGAAACUGGUAGACUUAAGUGCAGGAGAGGAGAGUGGAAUUCCAUGUGUAGCGGUGAAAUGCGUAGAUAUAUGGAGGAACACCGGUGGCGAAAGCGGCUCUCUGGCCUGUAACUGACACUGAGGCUCGAAAGCGUGGGGAGCAAACAGG
This 252-nucleotide ribosomal RNA is filed under the name uncultured bacterium. RNAcentral describes it as "partial 16S ribosomal RNA". It matches the Rfam family "Bacterial small subunit ribosomal RNA", at positions 524 to 776 of the family's 1533-position model. The record is from RNAcentral.